Molecule: ribosomal RNA, 403 nt
Filed under: bacterium
Lineage: Bacteria
Description: partial 16S ribosomal RNA
Rfam family: Bacterial small subunit ribosomal RNA
Source: RNAcentral
UGGGGAAUAUUGCACAAUGGAGGGAACUCUGAUGCAGCGACGCCGCGUGAACAAAGAAGGCUUUCGAGUCGUAAAGUUCUUUUAUAUGGGAAGAUAAUGACGGUACCAUAAGAAGAAGCCCCGGCUAACUACGUGCCAGCAGCCGCGGUAAUACGUAGGGGGCUAGCGUUGUCCGGAAUCACUGGGCGUAAAGGGUUCGCAGGCGGAAAUGCAAGUCAGGUGUAAAAGGCAGUAGCUUAACUACUGUAAGCAUUUGAAACUGCAUAUCUUGAGAAGAGUAGAGGUAAGUGGAAUUUUUAGUGUAGCGGUGAAAUGCGUAGAUAUUAAAAAGAAUACCGGUGGCGAAGGCGACUUACUGGGCUCAUUCUGACGCUGAGGAACGAAAGCGUGGGUAGCAAACAGG